RNAcentral lists this transfer RNA (73 nucleotides) under Dendronephthya gigantea. RNAcentral's name for it is "tRNA-Thr". It matches the Rfam family "tRNA". Rfam says of the family: Transfer RNA (tRNA) molecules are approximately 80 nucleotides in length. Their secondary structure includes four short double-helical elements and three loops (D, anti-codon, and T loops). Lineage: Eukaryota; Metazoa; Cnidaria; Anthozoa; Malacalcyonacea; Nephtheidae. The record is from RNAcentral.
GCCUUAUUAGCUCAGUUGUUAGAGCGCUGGUCUUGUAAACCAGGGGUCCAGAGUUCAACUCUCGGAUGAGGCU